UACAAAUUUCUUUCUUAUUAUCACAAAAUCAUUCAACUGCACAUGUCGUACUAUUUGUUGAACAAUUAUAACACUACCAUCUUCUAAACUGCAACAAUUAUUAUCACCAUUUCGCAAAAUUGUAGAGUCAAUUAUAAUAUAGUUGCAUAAUGAUGCAACACUACUGGGAAUAAAAAAGUGUAUUAUAGACUGACUAAGACAUGUCAAAGAAAGAUACAUAAGACAUUCGAACAAUGACAAUGAGGAAGCAGCAAAACUAUAAACAAUAUUACUUUUCGUAUUAUUUCGUAUUUUAUUACUUUUCGUAUUAUGUUUAUGUUUCGUGUCAUAUCGAAGGUAUGUGUUUAAAGCUUUUUCUUUGUGCUGCAAGAACUUACAAGAAGUUUUUAUUUACUUUUAACACUUAGAAAUUUGUGAGAAUUUUAAGAGGUACUGUUAAGAGUUAUGUUUAUAAAGUUUAUAAAGUUUCCUUUUAUAAA
Molecule: long non-coding RNA, 479 nt
Organism: Ooceraea biroi (clonal raider ant)
Lineage: Eukaryota; Metazoa; Arthropoda; Insecta; Hymenoptera; Formicidae
Source: RefSeq, a predicted model, not a curated record